This is a long non-coding RNA of Oreochromis niloticus (Nile tilapia), 2984 nucleotides long. RefSeq lists it as uncharacterized. Lineage: Eukaryota; Metazoa; Chordata; Actinopteri; Cichliformes; Cichlidae. The transcript has 2 exons. The record is from RefSeq and is a predicted model, not a curated record.
GUCAUUUAAUGGUUAUUACCUAAUUCCUUUGGUUUAGCUUGAAUGGCCAUGGGGUCUUUGUCAGCAGGAAAAGUCGCAAAACGUUAAACAUCCAAAUAUUUAUGCCCUCCUUCACAUUUUUCAGCUUUCCAGUGGGUCGGUUUGGAGUUUUUGCUCAGCCUUAUCUUUGACACCCCCGUUCUAUAGUUUUGAUCUUUGUCAAGUUGGUCACUAUGGUCCUAAGUUUAAGUCACAAAAUGGGUAAGUCCACUGCUAGACAUUAUUUAGUGGCUCUAUAGUGUAGUGAGUUACACAUAUGCCUAUCAAGCAAAAGAUCCCCAGUUCAGCUGUGGGAGUAGACACAAAUCCCUUGGGGGUUCUAUCAGGAAAGAUGUAAAAAAAGAAAGAAGAAAAUCUGCCAAAUCAAAUAUGUGGAGCUACCUGCUGUGGCAAACCCUUGUGAAUAAGGGAGCAACUAAAACUAUCUUCUUCUGCAAUAGUUAUUAUUUCCUACAGUACAUACCAGUUAGCAUGGCACUGGGAUGGUGGGAAUAAUAAAAAGGUACAAAAUCGUCUCACUCUGGCAGGUGGUAUCAAAGAAAGGGUUGGGGGAGCUGUCGGUCUGCUCACACCCACACAGCCUGCAGAAGAUGUCUAAGUGACAAUAUCUAUGGGUGUGAAAGAACAAGGCAUGUACACAUGUGAUAUAUGAAAUAAAAGGAGUCUCGCAUAAACCUCUAGAGAACAAGUCGCCCUUUUGAAUGACAGAAUACAUUAAACAUGUUGUUUAUCCCCAGCAAGAUAUAGUUCCAGUCAAACAGCUAUAGUAAGACACUGAUGCCAUUAUGAAUCUAGAUCGAGAUCAAAGGACAUAAAACCUGUCCUAUAAUAUUAUGACCUCAAUUUAGUUUGUCCCGGCUGUCCCUUCUGAAUCAGUUGGAUCACAAACCAUAAUCCCUUGUCUCUGUGGAUUAAUAAUGUAAUCUUCAGCGCAAACACUGAGCGUAAAUGAAAUGCUUAGGUAUUCACCUGGGCCGUAUUGAAAUGAAUGAAUGACCCCAGUCAGACAUCAUUCACGCUGAAACAAAAACUUCACAGCAUUCACCUUGCCUGGACUGUUGCAGUGAACAUUGAAGGUAUUUCAUCACGCGCACACACGGGGUUUGAAAGUCACCCAAAGUAUGUAAUCAAGUAGUUUCCUGUACUUCUUUUUUUUUUUUCCUUUUCCCAUUUGGAUGCAGGAGAUUAUCACAGGCCUUCUGAGGGAUAUUCUUCAUUACAUUUGAUCAUCUGACUCAUUUUUGUGAGGCUUGAAGUAAAAACCGGUCUCUUUUGUGCUAUAAUCCCCUGUUUGUCUGUUCUUCCGUUCUUUCUUUUUCAUCCAAGAUCAGGCAAGCAUCCAAUGAGCAGCAAGGGACCUUUACUCUUUUAACACAUAUUAAAAGUGAACAAAUUGUCACACAGCACUUACACCUUCAUUUAGUGACGACUAACACAAAGAAGAAGGUGUAGACUGGCUGAACAUAAUCUGAAACAUGCAGUCGGUCAGGUUUCACAUGUUUGUGAUUUCUGUUUUGAAUUUAACUUGCAGUGAUUUUACUUCUGCAGGAACAUUUGGCACCCAGUCCCACCCUGCAGGAAUCUCCAUGAAUCCUGGAGGCAGAUGAGCUGGUGUGCAGUGCAAUGAUAUGGACAGAGAGGGUCUGUUCAAGGUGGGGACAGAUAGAGGUAGGUAUGCCGCUGUUUUAUACGGUAUUGCAGAAACCGUGCCCAUGGGGAACAGUCAAGGCCCAGUACGCUGUGAGGCACUAAUUUAGCACUGAAGUUAGAGAAAACUGAACCAUAGGGUAUAACAUCACCAGGAGUUUAGUAUGCAGAGGGCAUUAUCUCAGAAUGUGAUGAUGUUUGCAAUUUGAACAAAGAAAACGUGACGCAGACGAGCAAAUAAGGAGAAACCAGCCUCUUUGUCAAGGGUGCCAUAGUUUUAAUCAGCAAUUCUACUAAACCAAGAACUGCAGCUUUUUAGGAAUUUCUUUCCUCGCACUCACCCAACAUCUGCUUGUCUAUCUUUGACUGUCUCUGCCCAUCUGUCGGCCUGCCUGCCUGUCUGUCUGUCCGCCCGUCCUUCAACCUUCAUCUCCUUCAGUCUCUCACAAACACCCCGCCUUGCUGUCCUCCAACCUUCGUUUUUUCCUGGGCAGCACAGCAGCCCACAGGCUUUGAUGAGAGGUCUAAGCUAAAAUGUCACAGGGAUUAAGAGGUUUUGCCUCCUGCAUCCCUCCGGAUCAGUUCUGGCUGCCCUCUGUGCCUCAGCUUCUUCUCCCCAAAACAGCAGGAAGACAAAAUCUCUAAAGAUUCACUCUCAGAAAAUUGAAGUCAGUAACUAUCAUCAGUGAAGCAGAUGUCUGAAGUCUCAGCGGGCCUCGUCUCUAGAGAUGAGAGGAAGAUCUACUCUGCUGACCACUCAGACCAGUCCACCUCCCUGGAUUUAUUUGAGAAGAGGCAAAGGAAGUGAAAACAGAAGGGAGACGUCUAAAAGCAAAAACAUAGGAAGAAAAAAAGAAAAAAGCACAGAGCAUGUCUAGAGGGAAUCCAAUGAAAAACCUGGUGGACUUUAAGGAUCUUGUGCUUCUGAUAAAUUAAGCUACAAAAGAAGUUUGGGGAAAAAGACGAGAAAAAAACAUCACUAGGAAUGCAAAACUGGGUGGAUGAAUUGAUGCAUGACCACUACAUGGUGCCAUGGUUGUUACUGUUGUCUCACAGCAGAUAUGAUCUGAGUUAAAAUCCCCUCGUUAGCUGGGGUCUUUCUGUGUGGAGUUUACAUGCUCUCCCUGCACCUGUGUGGUUUCCUCCAACUACCUUUCAUAGUUUAAUUACCGAAUCUAAACUGGCCAUAGGUACGGAUGUAGUGUUCAAUCAAUAUAGAUGUGAAAUCAAGGUCUUGUUGUGUAGAGCAUUUUGAGCUGUCAUUAUACUAGAAAAGUGCUGUGAUAAAUGCAAAUCCA